Molecule: long non-coding RNA, 1251 nt
Organism: Carassius auratus (goldfish)
Lineage: Eukaryota; Metazoa; Chordata; Actinopteri; Cypriniformes; Cyprinidae
Exons: 9
Source: RefSeq, a predicted model, not a curated record
GGCGCGGGGGGCAAGGAUACGCAAGAAUGCAGGUUGCAACCGUUGCAACAGCAGCAGACUUGUCAUUUAUUUUAUGCUCAAGCCUAAAAUUAAUCAGCAUUUAUUAAUAUAACAUUUAAGUAACAAUCGUUUAAGAUCAGCAUUACUGGGAGUAACGUUAAGUUCUAGCUCCUAUCAGGGAAGUCUUGUAUACUUGUUGGUUGGAACAGAGAUGCUACAAGGAGUUGAGCAGUAAGCUGAUGCAGAUGGUGUCUGUGGCUCUGGUGGAGAUCCAGCAGGACAUUAUUACCAGCCUUCCUGAAAUCCUGGAGGAUUCCCAGCAUGGAGACAUGGCCAAACAACUGAAUGGUUUACUUCAGCCGAACACUCGCUGAAGCUCGCUGUGCCUAUAUUGGAUGCUUUAUCCAGUUUGAAUCUGAGCUCUGCGUUACUGUCUGAGAAAUAAACCUGAAGGCUCUUAGGCUCUCACGCUGCUCAAAGAGACACACAGACAGGCAUUUGUCUCCACUUUGUCUGUCCCCGUUUUUCCUCCUGCUGGGGUUCUGUGAAGAAGUGCAGCACCAAAGCGAUCUGGAGGAGACUGAUGCUCUGCUAGACCAGGCUACACUCCUCCUCCAGCUAACUUUGAUGGAUGAUACCAUCUUCUUCAGUUGCUCUGCCAAAGAAAGGAAAGAAAGGAUCAUCCAGAGAAACCGAACGAGAAGGAGAAAGAAAAGGAUGCCAAAUCAGGGAUCAGUCUGUCUUCGUACUGGCCGUUCUUCAGAGAGCUGGAUGUUGAAGCUCUGAGCGUGCUUCAGUGUGGCCUUCUGUCACCGACACGUUUAGACACUGAGCUGCAUAGUAAGUUAAAGGAGGAAGUGCAGUUGGGCCAUGCAGAAUUACUUUUCCUGCUGGAGAACAUGUGGCGUAAACUGGACUUUAGUUUGGCUUCUGCACCAGCCAAAAAGGCUCCAUUUCUCAAAGAAUGAGAACACACACAUAUCUAAACCUGCUUUACCCUGUUUUAUGUUUUUCUACAAUGUUGUUCUAAUCAACCAAUCAGUUAUUAUAUUUAUUAUUUUAUAAUUAAGAAAUGAAACACUAAAAACUAAAAUAAUUCAUAUUAUUUUAUUCAUUAUUUUAAUCCUUUACAUUACAAUUAUGCCAUCAUUCACCAAAGUUUGGCAUUAUAAUGCAAUUAAAUAGUUUACUUUAAUAAAAGUGUUAAGUGUAAUCUUUGGCAAAUUGCAAAAUAUGUAUUUUUCAUACUGU